GGUCUUCCUAGAUACGCCUUUCUCGCGGUUUUCACCGGAAUAUACGCCGGAUCUCCCACAAUAUGGCAGUUAUGGAGCACUAUUCCCGUCGGCUCGCGGACGUCGCUGCGUCCCUGAGCGGUGACCAUACACGACUGGCCUGCCAUAGGUUUGCGCACGACGAUUUUGCAGUUUUGGAGGAUGCAUUGCGAGUCGCCGAAGAUGAAGUCCACGGUGCCGGAGACCGUGCAGUCACGGUAGAAUUGCCGUUGAGAGUGAACGUAUAAGGUGUCUUGGUAACCGUCGAUUUGACAGUCGAAGAACACGGCGUAGUCCCCCGAGACUCUUAAGGCUACCGCUUGUCCUCCUUCUGGUCCAGCCGUGUUCUCCAUCCCAAUGCCCUUUGCUGUGAAGUGCUCUCCCUCUACAGCUGCACAUAUAAGAAAGGUCGGUCAUGUUUAGACGCGGAGUUGAGUUAAUGGAUAAAACUCUUAGAUUAUCUAGUAGAUGUCUAAACAGUCAUAAGUUUGAAUAGGCCUGUGGGUUCGGUUCGAAGGGUAGUUCGGUUCAACAUAAAUCUUACCGAGUUAACCUGAAAUAAAGUUUGGUUCCAUAUAAUAUUUGGCUAGUUCAGGUUUUGAAAAUCCUACGGAAGUUUUUGAUUUCGGCUAAACUUUUGUUUAAUUUUGUUAAAAAAAAUCGAAUUUAUUCGGUUAGUUUGGUUCUAAAUCUGGUUACUUCGGUUAGUUUAGUUUGUAUGGUUUGGUAUAUAUAUAUUAAAGAAUACCAAAGUAACCGAUGGCAAGUUGAACCGAAACCUGAUUUUUUACGAAAACCUACCGAAUUGAACUAACCGAAUUUCGAUUCGGUUCAGUUAGGCUGGUUCAGUUCAAAAUCUUAGGCUAAGUUGGAGAGUCCGGUUGGAAAAUGUCUGCUCAUAUAUGAUGAUGUAGGGAACUUCGGACAAACAAAAUUCGAAACUCACUUAGGGGAGCUGUUAGGUACGUCUUGACUUUCCCGAUACCGAAGUUAAGGCUGCCGGAGAUUACAGUCUUGGUUGGUCCAUCACCUAUAAAAGUUAUCAUUCUUAAAACAAUUUCAGAGAAACACAUUAAAAACAAAAAGAUGUAAAACCCUGAAGUUAAACGAUUCACAAAACGGAAUCUCCUACAUGCCCGCCGUGUACGGGACUUGCGUCUGUGGAAUCCACGUGUUACCACUCAAGAAUCUAUCACCAGUGUAUGACAAAGCCUGUUCAUGCGUCAGUUUCUUGACACCAGGCCAUAUAACUCUUUGGGCCUGAUUCGCUCCAGGCCCAACAUUCAAAUGCUCGGCAUAGUACAACGUCUUGAGCGCGAAGUCACCGUUCCACGGAAGCCAUCCCGCCCGAUCAAUUACGUCAUCGAUCGUUGUCUUCAUGACGAUCGUCCUCGAGAACUCCUUCCACGGUCUUCCUAGAUACGCCUUUCUCGCGGUUUUCACCGGAAUAUACGCCGGAUCUCCCACAAUAUGGCAGUUAUGGAGCACUAUUCCCGUCGGCUCGCGGACGUCGCUGCGUCCCUGAGCGGUGACCAUACACGACUGGCCUGCCAUAGGUUUGCGCACGACGAUUUUGCAGUUUUGGAGGAUGCAUUGCGAGUCGCCGAAGAUGAAGUCCACGGUGCCGGAGACCGUGCAGUCACGGUAGAAUUGCCGUUGAGAGUGAACGUAUAAGGUGUCUUGGUAACCGUCGAUUUGACAGUCGAAGAACACGGCGUAGUCCCCCGAGACUCUUAAGGCUACCGCUUGUCCUCCUUCUGGUCCAGCCGUGUUCUCCAUCCCAAUGCCCUUUGCUGUGAAGUGCUCUCCCUCUACAGCUGCACAUAUAAGAAAGGUCGGUCAUGUUUAGACGCGGAGUUGAGUUAAUGGAUAAAACUCUUAGAUUAUCUAGUAGAUGUCUAAACAGUCAUAAGUUUGAAUAGGCCUGUG
Molecule: long non-coding RNA, 1947 nt
Filed under: Brassica napus (rape)
Lineage: Eukaryota; Viridiplantae; Streptophyta; Magnoliopsida; Brassicales; Brassicaceae
Description: long non-coding RNA (BNAP_LNC004791)
Source: RNAcentral